GCUAAAACGCCGCCCUAAAGAAACCUAAAUAGUUUCCAAAAACAAAAAAGAAAACCCCGAACGGCAGACCAACUUAAAAGCCAGCCAUUUCAACGAUCGAAGCUCUUUUCAAAUCCAUUCAAAUCCCAGCAGUUCCUGUUCUCCUGACUGGUCGAUUGUUUUGUCAAAAACUUGUGACAGAAUCAGAGGCACCUCUCCUAAUAGUCUAAAACUUCUUAAAACGCCGAUGUCUUCUUCAAUCGACUUUAUUCUGAGAUUCAUUUACUCUGUCAAACCAUGCAGUCUUUACCCCACCACUUAUUCUCUCGGCAAUAUCCAUCGGCAAUCUUCUUCCGCCUCCAUCGCAGCUGACCGAGGAAAUUCAUUUGGCAGAUAAGUACCCCCUAUUGUUUUUAACCCAUCCACUGCUAAUACAUGCGCCACCUUGUGUGUCAAUCUUGAGGUAUGUCUAAACAGGCAUGUUUCGUAGCCAAAACUUAGCACUUGUGCACUUAAUACAUAGGCAUUGAUUUAUGAUUUAUCUAUAUUUCUUGAUUUCACCUUCUUUAUGCCUGAUAAUGCAUCACCUACAAUUUCAGCCCUCACCACUCCUAGAUCCGCCCUAAUUGAACCGCCUGGACACAAGUAAUCGCCUCUGCUGCAAACCCAAUUGGUAUGUGCUCAUUUAGGCGCAUGGUAAAAUUUAGAACCCUCCCACUUGAGUCUCUGACCACUAUCCCCGAGCAUGAACUUAUACUUUGUUUGUGAAAUGCAACAUCGAAGUUUAUAUUUACAAAUGACUACUCUGACGGUCUCCAACGUUCUCCCUCUGUUCUUCGUCUAGGUAACCUGUUAUUAAGUUCCUCUAAUUCUUGUACGUAAUUUGUGAUAAAGCAAUCAAUUUUUGAUUCGUUUUAAAGAAUCCCCUCAUCAAGUUAUUUGUUUCUUGUUGUCUACAAAGCCUAGAAUGAACAAGCUAUUUUUCGACAUUGUUGUAUUGAGGCAUUAUUGUAAAGGUAUAACAUCCAGUCUCUAAACUGCCCUUCAUUUAGUUCCCAUCGCCAAGUAAUACCUAACUUUCUCCAGGUUUCCUUUGCAUUUAUACAGUCCCGGAAAGCAUGUUUAGCAUUUUCCACUUCGCCUAUACAUUUAUGACAAUUUGCAAACCCCACUAGCCUCCUUUGGUACAAGUUAUAUUGAGUAGGCAGAUAGUUGUUAAAAAUUAUCCAAUUCAUGAUUUUUAUUUUAGACGGUAGAUCCAAGAGCCAUAAUUUUUUGUAAAAAUUUUUGUAAACAUGUUGUUCGUUGUUGAGAGUAGUCGAGAGUGUUUCUUGUAAUAGAAUUUUAUACCUGCUUCUUACUGAGUAUUCGCCAAAAGUCUCGCCUCGUCAUACUAGCCUGUCCUCUUAUGGCGUGCAUAGUAGAGGAAUACACAAGAUAUUGUCAGCCUCUUCUUCAUUGAAGGUAGCUUUAAUUAGCCUUUCCUUCCUUCCAACAAUUAGUGGCUUAAUCAAUUAAAUCCAACACAUAACAAAUAUGCUGAUUAUUUUCUCGUUGUUGGACUUUGAAAUCAAUAGCACCCAGCUCCCACUUAUUUUCCCAAAUUAAGACUUGUUUUCCUGAUCCGAUUUGCCAACACAAACCCUUCUUUAGUAGACCUUUCGUCAUUCACACGCUUUUCGAGGCAUAAGAAGGUAAAUUGCCUGACCUAACAUUCAAAAAAAUUUGAUUCUGGAUAAUAUUUAGCCUUUAAUGAUCUUGCCAGUAAAGAAUUUGGGUAACAAAUUAGACGCCAACCUUGUUUCGCUAAGAAUUGAAUUUUGAUAAGCAACGAAAACAUAAACCCCCAUCUUCUUCCAUAUUGCACAAUUUCCUCCACUCACACUUCCUCGCUUGCCAUGCCUUUUUUGUCACGGAAUUUUUCCAAUAAUAUUAUCUAAUUCAUUGCAAAUCGAAUUUGGUAGUAAGAAACAAGCCAUUGAAUACGUCAGAAUUGCUUGAAGUACUGAUUUUAUACAGACUUAUUUCCCUUCUUGUGAAAGAUGUUUUACGCUUCAUUCAUUAACCCUACUUAUCAUUCAAUCUUUCUGGAUUUGGAAAGUCCUUUACUUGUUCUUGCCCACCAUAUUAGGCAAACCCAAAUAUCUCUCUAGGUCUCUCGAAAUUCUAACAUUGAAGAUAGAUGACACCACUUCCCUCUUUUGCUCCGAAACAUUUGAGCUAAAGUAAGCAAGUGAUUUUUUGAAAUUUAUGCAUUGUCCCCAAUAACUUUCAUAUUCCCGCAAAAUAUUCUUUAUUAUAUGUGCCCCCUCCUUGUCGCAUCACCAAAUAAAAUACAAUCAUCAGCAAACAAUAGGUGAGAGAUAAAAGGUUUUCUACGACUUACCCUUGCUCCCUUUAUUGCUCAUUCUUGAAUAGCUAAUCUCAUAAGAGAGAAAAGUCAUUCACUGCAAAUUAAAAAUAAAUACGGGCUCAACAGAUCACCUUGAUGUAAGCCCCGUCUUGGUUUGAAACUUUCCCAUCCUCUCCAUUAAGGCAUAUCGAAUAUGAGACCGAGCUAAUACAGUGUAUUAUAAGAUCCACACAUGACUUAUUGAAUCUCAUUUUUCACAUCAUUUGCUCUAGGAAGACCCACUCCACCCUAUCAUAUGCUUUACUCAUAUCAAGUUUUAGUGUCAAACUUCAUUUCCCUCCCACUCUUUUCUGUUUGAAAGUAUGCAUAAGUUCACAGGCAAUGAGAAUAUUAUCAGAAAUCAAUCUUCCCAGAACGAAAGCACUUUGGGCUUUAUCAAUACAUACCUCCAGAACUUUUGAAGAUGAUUUGCAACCGCCGUUGAUAUUACUUUGUACAAAACUAUGCACAAACUGAUUGGCCUAAAAUUCUUGAGGUUUGUUGGGUGGGAUAUUUUUGGCAUUAGCACAAUACUUAUCAUAUUUAGGGCCUCUACUGAAUUUCCAUGGUUCAAGAUAUCAAGGCAGAACUUUCCUACCUCAUCUACUAAAAUAUGCCAAAACCUUUAGAAAAAUAAAGUAGGGAAACUGUCCAUUACUAAUGCUGGCUUUCGUUGGCUCUAUACCUUUCAAGGCAAGAACAAGCUCCACUAUAGUGUAAUUUGCAAUUAAAGCCUGAUUCAUGCUUUCAGAGAUACACCUUCCAACUCUUGAAAGAAUAUGGUCAAGAUUACUAACCCCUUGUGAUGAAAAAAUAUUUUCAAAACACCUUUUUUGUAGAUUUAACCAUCUCCUUUGGAUUCGUUACCAAUUGACCAUUAUCACUCUCCAGUCCAUCAACACGAUUCAUUCAUUUCCGCUGAGAAGCAAAAUUAUAGAAGAAAAUUGUAUUUCUGUUCCCCAUUUUUAAUCAAUUCGCCCUUUCUCGUUACUCCCAAAACCUCUCCUCCUUGUUAAUUUCCAUAUUCAUUUGUAGCUUUACCUCAAACAAUUUUGCCAUGUUCUCAUCAUUUCUUUCCAAUCUGUCAAGUUCUUCCAAUCGUCUCAUUAAUUUUUUUGACAAACUAGCUCUUUUCUUCUUUAUCCCUUCUGCUCACCUUUGUAAACCAACUCCUAUAGCAUAAAGUCUAUCAACCACUCUACUUGAACUGCAUGUCCAUAGUUGCUUCACUUCCUCUUCACAUGAGUCCUCCAUGACCCACUAUGCCUCAAAACGGAACCUUUUCUUUAUUUUCCUCGUAUGAUCUUGUUUUGUCUGAAUAAACAGUAGGCAAUGAUCAAAAAAAGAAUGUGGCAAGUGUCUAACAGAAAAAUUUGAAAAUAGUGUCAACCAUUCAGUAUUUGCAUCUCCUUUAUCAAGCCUUUCUUUAAUGUUUGUCUCUGGCAAAUUUCCCUUCUCCCAAGUAAACCAAUGACCUGAAAAACUCAUAUCCUUUAAACGAAAUUCCUCUAACACCUUCUGAAAUUCCUUCAUACGUCCCUAUUCUCUUGGUAAGCCUUUUCCUUCACAAACGAGUACAAGAUUUCGUUGAAAUUGUCGCAAAUCAUCCAUGAAAAAUCUUGAUUACUCUCUAACAUUUUUAACAAGUUCCAAACCCUCGCCCUUUCAAGAAAAAUGUGUAACCUUUACAAUUUUAUCUUUUUUGCAUGGAACAUUUCCUUUUGUUUUUAUGGCUUAACCAAAAUUCUUUAAGCUUUUGUGGCUCAACUAGAAAUAUUUUACAAUCUACUUAAGAUUUUAUACCUCAAAAGUCUUAAGUAUGCUCUUUACAACAAAGAGAAUAUGAACAAACUAACAAUAAAUUUCUAGUAGGCGUGUGUUUGCAAAUAAAAACCCUAAAUAUAAAGAUUUGAGAGUGAGAAAAGAUAUGUACAAGAGAAAAUGAAGAAAAUAAAGAAUUGAAGGCUUUUCUUUAGUAUCUUGAAGAGUUCUUUAUGUGUAUAUAUAAUAAGGGAAAAAUUUAUUAUCGUUUAUAGUCGUUGGGGAUAGAGGUGUUCAAAUGAAUAACCGAACCAAAUUACCAUGGACCAAAAUGUAAAAAUCUUUAACUGUUAACCAAACCGAAGUUUUUUUUAAAUAUAUUAAUCGAAAUGAAAUAUCUUGGUUAUUUCGGUCAGUUAACCAAACACUAGAUGAAAAAGUAGAGAGAAAAGCAACAAAUUAAAGACUAAUCGCAACAUCAAUGGCAACCGAAAAAGAAGAAAAGGAACCCAGAAUUGGAUCAUGACUAUAAUAAGACAAUGUCCAAACAAAAAUUUAACGAAAUCCAUAGAUAGACACACACUAGCUCUUUUAAAAUAAUAAAUAAGUAUAAAAAUCAAACCAAAGCAAGAGAAUAAAAGAAAAAACCCCACAAAUCAAAGAAAAUCAAACCUAUAAAUUAAAAAAGCCAAAUGAAACGCAAGGCUUAGACAGAAAGAUCUUUGUAUUUGGUUCUAAACUAAUGGAUUUGGAUGGAUUAGGCUUUUUUUUUUCUAACGAGGGUUAAGGGUUUUUUGAUUUCGUAUUUUAAGGUUAAAAACGAUGGAGAGGAAGCAUGAUUUUGAACGAGGGUGAUUUGGGAGAUUUUGGAACUCUCUCCUCGGAUGGUGGUGACUGGUGAGCAUGCCGGGCUGUCGGUAGUUGGCAUUAGAAAUUUUUUUAUUUUGGGACAUUUCAAAUUAGGGCUUGUAUAUUUAGGAAUUAGGGGUAUUCGACGUUUUGUUUUUAGUUUUUAUGGAUUUUAUGUAAUGUAAGUUAAUUUUAUAAUUAAAUUAAUUAUUAAGUUGACUUGGGUUGGGUCUAUAAA
Gossypium raimondii (Peruvian cotton) is the source of this 5219-nucleotide long non-coding RNA. RefSeq lists it as uncharacterized. The transcript is spliced from 2 exons. The record is from RefSeq and is a predicted model, not a curated record. Lineage: Eukaryota; Viridiplantae; Streptophyta; Magnoliopsida; Malvales; Malvaceae.